GUGUCAGCAGCCGCGGUAAUACAGAGGGUGCAAGCGUUAAUCGGAAUUACUGGGCGUAAAGCGAGCGUAGUCGGUUAUUUAAGUCGGGUGUGAAAGCCCCGGGCUCAACCUGGGAAUUGCAUUCGAUACUGGAUAGCUAGAGUUCGGCAGAGGGAAGCGGAAUUUCCGGUGUAGCGGUGAAAUGCGUAGAUAUCGGAAGGAACAUCAGUGGCGAAAGCGGCUUCCUGGACCAGAACUGACGAUCAGGCUCGAAAGCGUGGGGAGCAAACAGGAUUAGAUACCCUCGUAGUCC
Molecule: ribosomal RNA, 292 nt
Filed under: uncultured bacterium
Lineage: Bacteria
Description: partial 16S ribosomal RNA
Rfam family: Bacterial small subunit ribosomal RNA
Source: RNAcentral